UUCGCAAUGCCCGAAAGGGUGACGAAGCGACGCCGCGUGUGGGAGGAAGGCCUUCGGGUUGUAAACCACUGUCGGGAGUUAAGAAAUGCAAGAAUGUUAAUAGCGUUUUUGCUUGACUAAGGCUCCGGAGGAAGCCACGGCUAACUCUGUGCCAGCAGCCGCGGUAAUACAGAGGCGGCAAGCGUUGUUCGGAAUUAUUGGGCGUAAAGAGCACGUAGGCGGCUAUAUAAGUCGGUUGUGAAAGCCUUCCGCUCAACGGGAGAACAGCAUCCGAUACUGUAUGGCUUGAGUGUGGGAGGGGAGAGCGGAACUUCUGGUGGAGCGGUGAAAUGCGUAGAUAUCAGAAGGAACGCCGGCGGCGAAAGCGGCUCUCUGGCCCAUAACUGACGCUGAGUGUGCGAAAGCUAGGGGAGCAAACGGGAUUAGAUACCCCGGUAGUCCUAGCCGUAAAC
This 452-nucleotide ribosomal RNA is filed under the name uncultured bacterium. Its description in RNAcentral is "bacterial SSU rRNA". It matches the Rfam family "Bacterial small subunit ribosomal RNA", at positions 365 to 807 of the family's 1533-position model. The record is from RNAcentral.